GCCCGGGUGGUGGAACUGGUAGACACAGGGGACUUAAAAUCCCCAGCUCGCAAGGGCGUGCGGGUUCGAUUCCCGCCCCGGGCA
RNAcentral lists this transfer RNA (84 nucleotides) under Desulfarculus baarsii DSM 2075. It matches the Rfam family "tRNA". From Rfam's summary of the family: Transfer RNA (tRNA) molecules are approximately 80 nucleotides in length. Their secondary structure includes four short double-helical elements and three loops (D, anti-codon, and T loops). Lineage: Bacteria; Pseudomonadati; Thermodesulfobacteriota; Desulfarculia; Desulfarculales; Desulfarculaceae. The record is from Rfam by way of RNAcentral.